GUAGGUGGCAAGCGUUGUCCGGAAUUAUUGGGCGUAAAGCGCGCGCAGGGGUGGUUCUUUAAGUCUGAUGUGAAAGCCCCCGGGCCCAACCGGGGAGGGUCAUUGGAAACUGGGGAACUUGAGUGCAGGAGAGGAAAGUGGAAUUCCACGUGUAGCGGUGAAAUGCGUAGAUAUGUGGAGGAACACCAGUGGCGAAGGCGACUUUCUGGCCUGUAACUGACACUGAGGCGCGAAAGCGUGGGGAGCAAACAGGAUUAGAUACCCUGGUAGUCCACGCCGUAAACGAUGAGUGCUAAGUGUUGGGGGGUUUCCGCCCCUCAGUGCUGCAGCUAACGCAUUAAGCACUCCGCCUGGGGAGUACGGUCGCAAAGACUG
This 375-nucleotide ribosomal RNA is filed under the name uncultured organism. Its description in RNAcentral is "partial 16S ribosomal RNA". It matches the Rfam family "Bacterial small subunit ribosomal RNA", at positions 527 to 896 of the family's 1533-position model. The record is from RNAcentral.